GACGUUACCUACAGAAGAAGCACCGGCUAACUCCGUGCCAGCAGCCGCGGUAAUACGGAGGGUGCGAGCGUUAAUCGGAAUUACUGGGCGUAAAGCGCAUGCAGGCGGCCUGUUAAGUCAGAUGUGAAAGACCCGGGGCGUUAACCUCGGAAUUGCAUUUGAAACUAGGCAGGCUAGAGUCUUGUAGAGGGGGGUAGGAAGUUUCUAGGUGUAGCGGUGAAAUAGCGUAGAGAUCUGAAGGAAUACCAGUGGCGAAGGCGGCCCCCUCGGACAAAGACUGACGCUCAGAUGCGAAAGCGUGGGGAGCAAACAGGAUUAGAUACCCCUGGUAG
Molecule: ribosomal RNA, 332 nt
Filed under: uncultured bacterium
Lineage: Bacteria
Description: bacterial SSU rRNA
Rfam family: Bacterial small subunit ribosomal RNA
Source: RNAcentral